GCGCCCGUAGCUCAGCUGGACAGAGCAUCGGAUUUCUAAUCCGAGGGUCCCAGGUUCGAGUCCUGGCGGGCGCACCA
RNAcentral lists this transfer RNA (77 nucleotides) under Planctomycetota bacterium. RNAcentral's name for it is "tRNA-Arg". It matches the Rfam family "tRNA". From Rfam's summary of the family: Transfer RNA (tRNA) molecules are approximately 80 nucleotides in length. Their secondary structure includes four short double-helical elements and three loops (D, anti-codon, and T loops). Further hydrogen bonds mediate the characteristic L-shaped molecular structure. tRNAs have two regions of fundamental functional importance: the anti-codon, which is responsible for specific mRNA codon recognition, and the 3' end, to which the tRNAs corresponding amino acid is attached (by aminoacyl-tRNA synthetases). tRNAs cope with the degeneracy of the genetic code in two manners: having more than one tRNA (with a specific anti-codon) for a particular amino acid; and 'wobble' base-pairing, i.e. permitting non-standard base-pairing at the 3rd anti-codon position. Lineage: Bacteria; Pseudomonadati; Planctomycetota. The record is from RNAcentral.